GAAGGACUUGCCCUUGGGUUAUAAAACACAGUGAAUGGGCUGUUGUUUGCAGCUGCAUGGGCAGCAGCUGCUAGGAUACCAAUAUGCAUGCUGUCACUUGACAACACCGAUGAUGAUAAGUUGGUUGGCUGUCUGUUUGCCCGCCUAAUUCCAAGUAGAAGCUGCUGUUUUUCAUCCCUGAUAAACAAAACUGAGUCACCA
RNAcentral lists this unclassified non-coding RNA (201 nucleotides) under Hevea brasiliensis (rubber tree). Lineage: Eukaryota; Viridiplantae; Streptophyta; Magnoliopsida; Malpighiales; Euphorbiaceae. The record is from RNAcentral.